RNAcentral lists this ribosomal RNA (466 nucleotides) under uncultured bacterium. RNAcentral's name for it is "partial 16S ribosomal RNA". It matches the Rfam family "Bacterial small subunit ribosomal RNA", at positions 28 to 507 of the family's 1533-position model. The record is from RNAcentral.
GACGAACGCUGGCGGCGUGCUUAACACAUGCAAGUCGAACGGAAAGGCCCUGCUUGCAGGGUACUCGAGUGGCGAACGGGUGAGUAACACGUGGGUGAUCUGCCCUGCACUUCGGGAUAAGCCUGGGAAACUGGGUCUAAUACCGGAUAGGAGCCAUUUUUAGUGUGAUGGUUGGAAAGUUUUUUUCGGUGUAGGAUGAGCUCGCGGCCUAUCAGCUUGUUGGUGGGGUAAUGGCCUACCAAGGCGGCGACGGGUAGCCGGCCUGAGAGGGUGGACGGCCACAUUGGGACUGAGAUACGGCCCAGACUCCUACGGGAGGCAGCAGCGGGGAAUAUUGCACAAUGGGCGCAAGCCUGAUGCAGCGACGCCGCGUGGGGGAUGACGGCCUUCGGGUUGUAAACUCCUUUCGCUAGGGACGAAGCUUUUUGUGACGGUACCUAGAUAAGAAGCACCGGCUAACUACGUG